RNAcentral lists this small RNA (144 nucleotides) under Neobacillus vireti. RNAcentral describes it as "Bacillus vireti c-di-AMP sequence". It matches the Rfam family "c-di-AMP riboswitch aptamer (ydaO/yuaA leader)". From Rfam's summary of the family: This family represents a conserved RNA structure found upstream of the ydaO and yuaA genes in Bacillus subtilis and related genes in other bacteria. The ydaO/yuaA element is thought to act as a genetic "off" switch for the ydaO and yuaA genes in its native state. RNAcentral also lists the same sequence under 1 other name. The record is from RNAcentral. Lineage: Bacteria; Bacillati; Bacillota; Bacilli; Caryophanales; Bacillaceae.
AUUUCUAAAUCGCUGAAACCUUUUGGUACGGGGGAACCAUUUUUUCGGGUUAUUUAUAACCCAAGGGGUGAAUCCUAAUUAGGAAGGGCUACUCAAUGGCCCGAAUCCGACAGCUAACCUCGUAAGCGUUAUAUGAGAAGGAAG